Molecule: unclassified non-coding RNA, 24 nt
Filed under: Chlamydomonas reinhardtii
Lineage: Eukaryota; Viridiplantae; Chlorophyta; Chlorophyceae; Chlamydomonadales; Chlamydomonadaceae
Description: small RNA Cre_0778
Source: RNAcentral
AUGGUCCGCCCUGGAAGCGUUAUC